Molecule: microRNA precursor, 173 nt
Organism: Arabis alpina (gray rockcress)
Lineage: Eukaryota; Viridiplantae; Streptophyta; Magnoliopsida; Brassicales; Brassicaceae
Rfam family: mir-166 microRNA precursor family
About the family: This family represents the plant microRNA (miRNA) precursor mir-166. Animal miRNAs are transcribed as ~70nt precursors and subsequently processed by the Dicer enzyme to give a ~22nt product.
Source: Rfam
UUUGAGGGGAUUGUUGUCUGGCACGAGGCCCUUAACUCAGAUCUACAUUUCACUCUUCUUCAUUAUUAAUAUUACUCUAUAUAUAUCAAUAUAUGUGUGUGUAUAUUACACAUACAUGAUUAAUGAUCGGUUUAAUGGUUAAUGACUUCGGACCAGGCUUCAUUCCCCUCAAU